CAUUUUAGAAAAGCCAACUGAUCCAAAUGAAGAUAGCGACUACUGUGAUAUGAAGUCAGUUAAAACUACAGCAUCGUCUGGGCCAGUUGAUGUAACCUAUGCUGAGAUUGACCUAAAAAAGAAAAAAUCAACACCCCACCAGAGUCAGAAUCAGUCUAUUCUCCAAUAAAGACACAGUCCUUGAGGGAGAUGAACACAAUCAACCACACUCUCCCUGUAACACAGAAAUGUGACACACACAUCACACACCCAGUCACAUAUGGACCACACACACAAUAAUGCCUUAUACAUGAAGGAUUUCUAUCAUACUAUGUUAUCAACUGAUACACUUUUUUUUAAAUCUGUUACUUUAAAAAAACAAUAACUUGGGGUAAUAGUAGUGAUUAUUCUACUUGCAGCUAGAGAGAUUGUUUUAUUUUGUUAUUGUACUGUAGUUUUGUAAAUCUAUUGACAUGUGUCAUCUUUGACUUGUUGGUUAUGACAUUCAAAUGAUUUAAUCAAA
This is a long non-coding RNA of Esox lucius (northern pike), 502 nucleotides long. RefSeq lists it as uncharacterized. The record is from RefSeq and is a predicted model, not a curated record. The transcript has 4 exons. NCBI's taxonomy places the organism in Eukaryota, Metazoa, Chordata, Actinopteri, Esociformes, Esocidae.